RNAcentral lists this transfer RNA (73 nucleotides) under Chloroflexota bacterium. Its description in RNAcentral is "Chloroflexi bacterium (groundwater metagenome) tRNA-Val". It matches the Rfam family "tRNA". Rfam says of the family: Transfer RNA (tRNA) molecules are approximately 80 nucleotides in length. Their secondary structure includes four short double-helical elements and three loops (D, anti-codon, and T loops). The record is from RNAcentral. Lineage: Bacteria; Bacillati; Chloroflexota.
GGGCGAAUAGCUCAGCGGUCAGAGCGCCUGUUUUACACACAGGAGGUCGCAGGUUCGAGACCUGCUUCGCCCA